RNAcentral lists this ribosomal RNA (254 nucleotides) under uncultured bacterium. RNAcentral's name for it is "partial 16S ribosomal RNA". It matches the Rfam family "Bacterial small subunit ribosomal RNA", at positions 524 to 777 of the family's 1533-position model. The record is from RNAcentral.
GACAGAGGUCCCAAGCGUUAGGCGGAAUCACUGGGCUUAAAGCGUGUGUAGGCGGGCCCGUAAGUGUCUUGUGAAAUCCCACGGCUCAACCGUGGAACUGCUGGGCAUACUGGCGAUCUUGAGCCAGCUAGGGGCAACCGGAACAAACGGUGGAGCGGUGAAAUGCGUAGAUAUCGUUUGGAACGCCAAUGGUGAAAACAGGUUGCUGGGGCUGUGCUGACGCUGAGACACGAAAGCCAGGGGAGCGAACGGGG